UCGUCAGCUCGUGUCGUGAGAUGUUGGGUUAAGUCCCGCAACGAGCGCAACCCUUGUCAUUAGUUGCCAUCAUUAAGUUGGGCACUCUAAUGAGACUGCCGGUGACAAACCGGAGGAAGGUGGGGAUGACGUCAAGUCAUCAUGCCCCUUAUGACCUGGGCUACACACGUGCUACAAUGGACGGUACAACGAGAAGCGAACCUGCGAAGGCAAGCGGAUCUCUUAAAGCCGUUCUCAGUUCGGACUGUAGGCUGCAACUCGCCUACACGAAGCUGGAAUCGCUAGUAAUCGCGGAUCAGCACGCCGCGGUGAAUACGUUCCCGGGCCUUGUACACACCGCCCGUCACACCAUGAGAGUCUGUAGCACCCAAAGCCGGUGGGAUAACCUUUAUAGGAGUCAGCCGUCUAAGGUAGGACAGAUGAUUAGGGUGAAGUCAUAACAAGGUAACCGUA
Molecule: ribosomal RNA, 453 nt
Filed under: uncultured bacterium
Lineage: Bacteria
Description: bacterial SSU rRNA
Rfam family: Bacterial small subunit ribosomal RNA
Source: RNAcentral